This 506-nucleotide ribosomal RNA is filed under the name uncultured bacterium. RNAcentral describes it as "partial 16S ribosomal RNA". It matches the Rfam family "Bacterial small subunit ribosomal RNA", at positions 29 to 523 of the family's 1533-position model. The record is from RNAcentral.
AGUGUACGCUGGCGGUAGGCCUAACACAUGCAAGUCGAACGGCAGCACAGGAGAGCUUGCUCUCUGGGUGGCGAGUGGCGGACGGGUGAGGAAUACAUCGGAAUCUACUCUGUCGUGGGGGAUAACGUAGGGAAACUUACGCUAAUACCGCAUACGACCUACGGGUGAAAGCAGGGGAUCUUCGGACCUUGCGCGAUUGAAUGAGCCGAUGUCGGAUUAGCUAGUUGGCGGGGUAAAGGCCCACCAAGGCGACGAUCCGUAGCUGGUCUGAGAGGAUGAUCAGCCACACUGGAACGGAGAGACGGUCCAGACUCCUACGGGAGGCAGCAGUGGGGAAUAUUGGACAAUGGGCGCAAGCCUGAUCCAGCCAUACCGCGUGGGUGAAGAAGGCCUUCGGGUUGUAAAGCCCUUUUGUUGGGAAAGAAAUCCAGCUGGCUAAUACCCGGUUGGGAUGACGGUACCCAAAGAAUAAGCACCGGCUAACUUCGUGCCAGCCGCCGCAGUAA